This 697-nucleotide ribosomal RNA is filed under the name uncultured bacterium. Its description in RNAcentral is "bacterial SSU rRNA". It matches the Rfam family "Bacterial small subunit ribosomal RNA", at positions 833 to 1533 of the family's 1533-position model. The record is from RNAcentral.
GGGGUUCCCUCGGCCCGCGGUUCCGCUUUUGGUCCCGCCUGGGAGUACGGUCGCAAGGCUGAAACUCAAAGAAAUUGNCGGGGGGCCCGCNCACGCGGUGGAGUAUGUGGUUUAAUUCGAUGCANCGCGAAGANCCUUACCUAGGCUUGACAUCCCGAGAACCCUCCCGGAAAGGNGGGGUGCUCCUCGGAGAACUCGGAGNCAGGUGCUGCANUGCUGUCGCCAGCUCGUGCCGUGAGGUGUUGGGNUAAGUCCCGCAACGAGCGCAACCCCUGUUCAUAGUUGCUNCCAGGUAAAGCUGGGCACUCUAUGGAGACUGCCUUGGCVUCAAGGAGGAAGGUGGGGAUGACGUCAAGUCAUCAUGGCCCUUACACCUAGGGCUACACACGUACUACAAUGGCGAGUACAAAGGGUUGCGAAACCGCGAGGUGAAGCCAAUCCCAAAAAGCUCGUCCCAGUCCGGAUUGCAGUCUGCAACUCGACUGCAUGAAGUCGGAAUCGCUAGUAAUCCCGGAUCAGCAUGCCGGGGUGAAUACGUUCCCGGGCCUUGUACACACCGCCCGUCACACCACGAAAGUUGGUUCUACCCGAAGCCGCCAAGCUAACCGCAAGGAGGCAGGCGUCUACGGUAGGGCCGAUGAUUGGGGUGAAGUCGUAACAAGGUGCGUACUCCAACAUAGGGCCGCUCAGCGCCAUU